RNAcentral lists this ribosomal RNA (190 nucleotides) under uncultured bacterium. RNAcentral's name for it is "partial 16S ribosomal RNA". It matches the Rfam family "Bacterial small subunit ribosomal RNA", at positions 707 to 895 of the family's 1533-position model. The record is from RNAcentral.
CACCAGUGGCGAAGGCGGCUUUCUGGACUGUAACUGACACUGAGGCUCGAAAGCCAGGGGAGCGAACGGGAUUAGAUACCCCGGUAGUCCUGGCCGUAAACGAUGGAUACUANGUGUGGGAGGUAUCGACCCCUUCCGUGCCGGAGUUAACGCAAUAAGUAUCCCGCCUGGGGAGUACGGCCGCAAGGCU